GGGGGGCAAGCGUUGUUCGGAAUUACUGGGCGUAAAGGGCUCGUAGGUGGCCAACUAAGUCAGACGUGAAAUCCCUCAGCUCAACUGGGGAACUGCGUCUGAUACUGGUUGGCUUGAGUGCAGGAGAGGAACGCGGAAUUCCAGGUGUAGCGGUGAAAUGCGUAGAUAUCUGGAGGAACACCGGUGGCGAAGGCGGCGUUCUGGACUGUAACUGACACUGAUGAACGAAAGCGUGGGGAGCGAACAGG
This 248-nucleotide ribosomal RNA is filed under the name uncultured bacterium. RNAcentral's name for it is "partial 16S ribosomal RNA". It matches the Rfam family "Bacterial small subunit ribosomal RNA", at positions 529 to 776 of the family's 1533-position model. The record is from RNAcentral.